GGUUAAGCGACUAAGCGUACACGGUGGAUGCCACGGCAGUCAGAGGCGAUGAAGGACGUGCUAAUCUGCGAUAAGCGUCGGUAAGGUGAUAUGAACCGUUAUAACCGGCGAUUUCCGAAUGGGGAAACCCAGUGUGAUUCGUCACACUAUCAUUAACUGAAUCCAUAGGUUAAUGAGGCGAACCGGGGAACUGAAACAUCUAAGUACCCCGAGGAAAAGAAAUCAACCGAGAUUCCCCAGUAGCGGCGAGCGAACGGGGAGCAGCCCAGAGCCUGAAUCAGUGUGUGUGUUAGUGGAAGCGUCUGGAAAGGCGCGCGAUACAGGGUGACAGCCCCGUACACAAAAAUGCACAUAUUGUGAGCUCGAUGAGUAGGGCGGGACACGUGGUAUCCUGUCUGAAUAUGGGGGGCCCAUCCUCCAAGGCUAAAUACUCCUGACUGACCGAUAGUGAACCAGUACCGUGAGGGAAAGGCGAAAAGAACCCCGGCGAGGGAGUGAAAAAGAACCUGAAACCGUGUACGUACAAGCAGUGGGAGCACGCUUAGGCGUGUGACUGCGUACCUUUUGUAUAAUGGGUCAGCGACUUAUAUUCUGUAGCAAGGUUAACCGAAUAGGGGAGCCGAAGGGAAACCGAGUCUUAACUGGGCGUUAAGUUGCAGGGUAUAGACCCGAAACCCGGUGAUCUAGCCAUGGGCAGGUUGAAGGUUGGGUAACACUAACUGGAGGACCGAACCGACUAAUGUUGAAAAAUUAGCGGAUGACUUGUGGCUGGGGGUGAAAGGCCAAUCAAACCGGGAGAUAGCUGGUUCUCCCCGAAAGCUAUUUAGGUAGCGCCUCGUGAAUUCAUCUCCGGGGGUAGAGCACUGUUUCGGCAAGGGGGUCAUCCCGACUUACCAACCCGAUGCAAACUGCGAAUACCGGAGAAUGUUAUCACGGGAGACACACGGCGGGUGCUAACGUCCGUCGUGAAGAGGGAAACAACCCAGACCGCCAGCUAAGGUCCCAAAGUCAUGGUUAAGUGGGAAACGAUGUGGGAAGGCCCAGACAGCCAGGAUGUUGGCUUAGAAGCAGCCAUCAUUUAAAGAAAGCGUAAUAGCUCACUGGUCGAGUCGGCCUGCGCGGAAGAUGUAACGGGGCUAAACCAUGCACCGAAGCUGCGGCAGCGACGCUUAUGCGUUGUUGGGUAGGGGAGCGUUCUGUAAGCCUGCGAAGGUGUGCUGUGAGGCAUGCUGGAGGUAUCAGAAGUGCGAAUGCUGACAUAAGUAACGAUAAAGCGGGUGAAAAGCCCGCUCGCCGGAAGACCAAGGGUUCCUGUCCAACGUUAAUCGGGGCAGGGUGAGUCGACCCCUAAGGCGAGGCCGAAAGGCGUAGUCGAUGGGAAACAGGUUAAUAUUCCUGUACUUGGUGUUACUGCGAAGGGGGACGGAGAAGGCUAUGUUGGCCGGGCGACGGUUGUCCCGGUUUAAGCGUGUAGGCUGGUUUUCCAGGCAAAUCCGGAAAAUCAAGGCUGAGGCGUGAUGACGAGGCACUACGGUGCUGAAGCAACAAAUGCCCUGCUUCCAGGAAAAGCCUCUAAGCAUCAGGUAACAUCAAAUCGUACCCCAAACCGACACAGGUGGUCAGGUAGAGAAUACCAAGGCGCUUGAGAGAACUCGGGUGAAGGAACUAGGCAAAAUGGUGCCGUAACUUCGGGAGAAGGCACGCUGAUAUGUAGGUGAAGUCCCUUGCGGAUGGAGCUGAAAUCAGUCGAAGAUACCAGCUGGCUGCAACUGUUUAUUAAAAACACAGCACUGUGCAAACACGAAAGUGGACGUAUACGGUGUGACGCCUGCCCGGUGCCGGAAGGUUAAUUGAUGGGGUCAGCGCAAGCGAAGCUCUUGAUCGAAGCCCCGGUAAACGGCGGCCGUAACUAUAACGGUCCUAAGGUAGCGAAAUUCCUUGUCGGGUAAGUUCCGACCUGCACGAAUGGCGUAAUGAUGGCCAGGCUGUCUCCACCCGAGACUCAGUGAAAUUGAACUCGCUGUGAAGAUGCAGUGUACCCGCGGCAAGACGGAAAGACCCCGUGAACCUUUACUAUAGCUUGACACUGAACAUUGAGCCUUGAUGUGUAGGAUAGGUGGGAGGCUUUGAAGUGUGGACGCCAGUCUGCAUGGAGCCGGCCUUGAAAUACCACCCUUUAAUGUUUGAUGUUCUAACGUGGACCCGUGAUCCGGGUUGCGGACAGUGUCUGGUGGGUAGUUUGACUGGGGCGGUCUCCUCCUAAAGAGUAACGGAGGAGCAGGAAGGUUGGCUAAUCCUGGUCGGACAUCAGGAGGUUAGUGCAAUGGCAUAAGCCAGCUUGACUGCGAGCGUGACGGCGCGAGCAGGUGCGAAAGCAGGUCAUAGUGAUCCGGUGGUUCUGAAUGGAAGGGCCAUCGCUCAACGGAUAAAAGGUACUCCGGGGAUAACAGGCUGAUACCGCCCAAGAGUUCAUAUCGACGGCGGUGUUUGGCACCUCGAUGUCGGCUCAUCACAUCCUGGGGCUGAAGUAGGUCCCAAGGGUAUGGCUGUUCGCCAUUUAAAGUGGUACGCGAGCUGGGUUUAGAACGUCGUGAGACAGUUCGGUCCCUAUCUGCCGUGGGCGCUGGAGAACUGAGGGGGCUGCUCCUAGUACGAGAGGACCGGAGUGGACGCAUCACUGGUGUUCGGGUUGUCAUGCCAAUGGCACUGCCCGGUAGCUAAAUGCGGAAGAGAUAAGUGCUGAAAGCAUCUAAGCACGAAACUUGCCCCGAGAUGAGUUCUCCCUGACCCUUUAAGGGUCCUGAAGGAACGUUGAAGACGACGACGUUGAUAGGCCGGGUGUGUAAGCGCAGCGAUGCGUUGAGCUAACCGGUACUAAUGAACCGUGAGGCUUAACCUU
Molecule: ribosomal RNA, 2899 nt
Filed under: Shigella sonnei
Lineage: Bacteria; Pseudomonadati; Pseudomonadota; Gammaproteobacteria; Enterobacterales; Enterobacteriaceae
Description: 23S ribosomal RNA
Rfam family: Bacterial large subunit ribosomal RNA
Source: RNAcentral